Molecule: long non-coding RNA, 258 nt
Organism: Oncorhynchus mykiss (rainbow trout)
Lineage: Eukaryota; Metazoa; Chordata; Actinopteri; Salmoniformes; Salmonidae
Source: RefSeq, a predicted model, not a curated record
CAGAACUACCCCUCCUUAAAUCCAUAGUCAUUGACAUAAGUGUCAAGACAAGCCAGAAAACAGGAGGUUGAUGUGUUGUGGGCCGUCUGUAAAGUCCUAAAAUAUGCCCCUGAGGAUGCAAAAUCUGACCCAUCACACCACUCUUCAAGAGGGCCACUACGCUCCAGAUUGUCUUCUGUCCUCAGAGGUCCUUGUUGAGGAUCUACCCUAUCAUACCAUUCAUAUUGUUCAUUAAUAAAAUAAAACAAUGGGCCUUUA